CGGCGGACGGGUGAGUAAUGCCUAGGAAUCUGCCUGGUAGUGGGGGACAACGUUUCGAAAGGAACGCUAAUACCGCAUACGUCCUACGGGAGAAAGCAGGGGAUCUUCGGACCUUGCGCGAUUGAAUGAGCCGAUGUCGGAUUAGCUAGUUGGCGGGGUAAAGGCCCACCAAGGCGACGAUCCGUAGCUGGUCUGAGAGGAUGAUCAGCCACACUGGAACUGAGACACGGUCCAGACUCCUACGGGAGGCAGCAGCG
RNAcentral lists this ribosomal RNA (257 nucleotides) under uncultured Pseudomonas sp. Its description in RNAcentral is "partial 16S ribosomal RNA". It matches the Rfam family "Bacterial small subunit ribosomal RNA", at positions 96 to 356 of the family's 1533-position model. Lineage: Bacteria; Pseudomonadati; Pseudomonadota; Gammaproteobacteria; Pseudomonadales; Pseudomonadaceae. The record is from RNAcentral.